Molecule: transfer RNA, 72 nt
Filed under: Candidatus Jorgensenbacteria bacterium CG11_big_fil_rev_8_21_14_0_20_38_23
Lineage: Bacteria; Candidatus Joergenseniibacteriota
Description: tRNA-Arg
Rfam family: tRNA
About the family: Transfer RNA (tRNA) molecules are approximately 80 nucleotides in length. Their secondary structure includes four short double-helical elements and three loops (D, anti-codon, and T loops).
Source: RNAcentral
GCCCCGAUAGCUCAAUGGAAAGAGUGCUUGCCUUCGAAGCAAGCGAUAGAGGUUCGACUCCUCUUCGGGGCA